RNAcentral lists this ribosomal RNA (249 nucleotides) under uncultured bacterium. RNAcentral describes it as "partial 16S ribosomal RNA". It matches the Rfam family "Bacterial small subunit ribosomal RNA", at positions 15 to 252 of the family's 1533-position model. The record is from RNAcentral.
GAUCCUGGCUCAGGAUGAACGCUAGCUACAGGCUUAACACGUGCAAGUCGAGGGGCAGCAUUUUUAGUUUUGCUUGCAAACUAAAGAUGGCGACCGGCGCACGGGUGAGUAACACGUAUCCAACCUGCCGAUAACUCUGGGAUAGCCUUUCGAAAGAAAGAUUAAUACCGGAUGGCAUAGGAUUAUCGCAUGAUAAUCCUAUUAAAGAAUUUCGGUUAUCGAUGGGGAUGCGUUCCAUUAGGUAGUUGG